RNAcentral lists this non-coding RNA (296 nucleotides) under Pasteurellaceae bacterium I7. Lineage: Bacteria; Pseudomonadati; Pseudomonadota; Gammaproteobacteria; Pasteurellales; Pasteurellaceae. The record is from RNAcentral.
UGUAAGCCGGGUUCUGUCGUGGACAAUCAUUCCUCUAGGCUUGCAUUUACACACAAGCUCAAGCAACCUACCCGAACUCUCGGCGGGCCACCGAUUGAGUUCCUAUUUGGUCUUGCUACGAGUGGAGUUUACCUAGCUGCCAAAUGUUACCACUGGCACGGUGCGCUCUUACCGCACCCUUUCACCCUUACCAGCCAAAGCUGGCGGUCUGCUCUCUGUUGCACUAGUCGUAGGCUCGCGCCCCCCGGACGUUAUCCGGCACUCUGCCCUAUGUAGCCCGGACUUUCCUCCCAGAA